GGAUCAUAUAGCUCAGUGGCAGAGCAUCUGCUUUGCAGGCAGAAGGUCCCAAGUUCAAUCCCCGACGACAUAUCCA
This is a non-coding RNA of Podarcis lilfordi (Lilford's wall lizard), 76 nucleotides long. NCBI's taxonomy places the organism in Eukaryota, Metazoa, Chordata, Lepidosauria, Squamata, Lacertidae. The record is from the annotation of a GenBank genome assembly.